GGAGAGGUGGCCGAGAGGCUGAAGGCACCUUCCUGCUAAGAAGGUAUACGGGUAAAACUGUAUCAAGGGUUCGAAUCCCUUCCUCUCCGCCA
Molecule: transfer RNA, 92 nt
Filed under: Pseudomonadota bacterium
Lineage: Bacteria; Pseudomonadati; Pseudomonadota
Also listed under: 1 other name
Description: Proteobacteria bacterium (freshwater metagenome) tRNA-Ser
Rfam family: tRNA
About the family: Transfer RNA (tRNA) molecules are approximately 80 nucleotides in length. Their secondary structure includes four short double-helical elements and three loops (D, anti-codon, and T loops).
Source: RNAcentral